RNAcentral lists this transfer RNA (74 nucleotides) under Dehalococcoidales bacterium. RNAcentral's name for it is "tRNA-Ala". It matches the Rfam family "tRNA". Rfam says of the family: Transfer RNA (tRNA) molecules are approximately 80 nucleotides in length. Their secondary structure includes four short double-helical elements and three loops (D, anti-codon, and T loops). Lineage: Bacteria; Bacillati; Chloroflexota; Dehalococcoidia; Dehalococcoidales. The record is from RNAcentral.
GGGGCUAUAGUAAAGAGGGAUUACGCGACACUGGCAGUGUCGAAUCGGGAGUUCGAGUCUCCCUAGCUCCACCA